This 305-nucleotide ribosomal RNA is filed under the name uncultured Chaetothyriales. RNAcentral's name for it is "SSU rRNA". It matches the Rfam family "Eukaryotic small subunit ribosomal RNA", at positions 39 to 352 of the family's 1831-position model. The record is from RNAcentral. Lineage: Eukaryota; Fungi; Ascomycota; Eurotiomycetes; Chaetothyriales.
AAAGAUUAAGCCAUGCAUGUNUAAGUAUAAGCAACUAUACUGUGAAACUGCGAAUGGCUCAUUACACCAGUUAUCGUUUAUUUGAUAGUACCUUUACCUGGAUAACCGUGGUAAUUCUAGAGCUAAUACAUGCUAAAAACCCCGACUUUGAAGGGGNGUAUUUAUUAGAUAAAAAACCAAUGCCCUUUGGGCUCCUUGGUGAUUCAUAAUAACUUAACGAAUCGCAUGGCCUUGCGCCGGCGAUGGUUCAUUCAAAUUUCUGCCCUAUCAACUUUCNAUGGUAGGAUAGUGGCCUACCAUGGUCU